CCAGACUCCUACGGGAGGCAGCAGUGGGGAAUAUUGCACAAUGGGGGAAACCCUGAUGCAGCGACGCCGCGUGAGUGAAGAAGUAUUUCGGUAUGUAAAGCUCUAUCAGCAGGGAAGAUAAUGACGGUACCUGACCAAGAAGCCCCGGCUAACUACGUGCCAGCAGCCGCGGUAAUACGUAGGGGGCAAGCGUUAUCCGGAUUUACUGGGUGUAAAGGGAGCGUAGACGGUAAUGCAAGUCUGGAGUGAAAUGCAGGGGCUCAACCCCUGAACUGCUUUGGAAACUGUAUGACUGGAGUGCAGGAGAGGUAAGUGGAAUUCCUAGUGUAGCGGUGAAAUGCGUAGAUAUUAGGAGGAACACCAGUGGCGAAGGCGGCUUACUGGACUGUAACUGACGUUGAGGCUCGAAAGCGUGGGGAGCAAACAGGAUUAGAUACCCGCGUACA
RNAcentral lists this ribosomal RNA (446 nucleotides) under uncultured bacterium. Its description in RNAcentral is "bacterial SSU rRNA". It matches the Rfam family "Bacterial small subunit ribosomal RNA", at positions 331 to 797 of the family's 1533-position model. The record is from RNAcentral.